AACGAACGCUGGCGGCAGGCCUAACACAUGCAAGUCGAGCGCGCCUUCGGGUGAGCGGCGGACGGGUGAGUAACACGUGGGAAUAUGCCUUUCGGUGCGGAAUAGUCUUGGGAAACUGAGGGUAAUACCGCAUACGCCCCUUGGGGGAAAGAUUUAUCGCCGAAAGAUUAGCCCGCGUUGGAUUAGGUAGUUGGUGGGGUAAUGGCCUACCAAGCCGACGAUCCAUAGCUGGUUUGAGAGGAUGAUCAGCCACACUGGGACUGAGACACGGCCCAGACUCCUACGGGAGGCAGCAGUGGGGAAUCUUAGACAAUGGGGGCAACCCUGAUCUAGCCAUGCCGCGUGAGUGAUGAAGGCCUUAGGGUUGUAAAGCUCUUUCAGCUGGGAAGAUAAUGACGUACCAGCAGAGAGC
This 412-nucleotide ribosomal RNA is filed under the name alpha proteobacterium oral taxon A23. RNAcentral's name for it is "bacterial SSU rRNA". It matches the Rfam family "Bacterial small subunit ribosomal RNA", at positions 29 to 489 of the family's 1533-position model. The record is from RNAcentral. Lineage: Bacteria; Pseudomonadati; Pseudomonadota; Alphaproteobacteria.